This 492-nucleotide ribosomal RNA is filed under the name uncultured bacterium. RNAcentral's name for it is "partial 16S ribosomal RNA". It matches the Rfam family "Bacterial small subunit ribosomal RNA", at positions 29 to 507 of the family's 1533-position model. The record is from RNAcentral.
AGUGAACGCUGGCGGUAGGCCUAACACAUGCAAGUCGAACGGCAGCACAGUAAGAGCUUGCUCUUACGGGUGGCGAGUGGCGGACGGGUGAGGAAUACAUCGGAAUCUACUUUUUCGUGGGGGAUAACGUAGGGAAACUUACGCUAAUACCGCAUACGACCUACGGGUGAAAGCAGGGGAUCUUCGGACCUUGCGCGAUUGAAUGAGCCGAUGUCGGAUUAGCUAGUUGGCGGGGUAAAGGCCCACCAAGGCGACGAUCCGUAGCUGGACUGAGAGGAUGAUCAGCCACACUGGAACGGGGCCACGGUCCAGACUCCUACGGAAGGCAGCAGUGGGGAAUAUUGGACAAUGGUCGCAAGCCUGAUCCAGCCAUACCGCUUAGGUAAAAAAGGCCUUCGAGUUGUAAAGCCCUUUUGUUGAGAAAGAAAAGCAUCAGGUUAAUACCCCGCUGUUCUGACGGUACCCAAAGAAUAAGCACCGGCUAACUUCGUG